Molecule: unclassified non-coding RNA, 470 nt
Filed under: fungal endophyte
Lineage: Eukaryota; Fungi
Description: sequence contains ITS1, 5.8S rRNA gene and ITS2
Rfam family: 5.8S ribosomal RNA (bases 195-349)
Source: RNAcentral
GGAAGUAAAAGGUCGUAACAAGGUUUCCGUAGGUGAACCUGCGGAAGGAUCAUUACCUAGAGUUGUAGGCUUUGCCUGCUAUCUCUUACCCAUGUCUUUUGAGUACCUUCGUUUCCUCGGCGGGUUCGCCCGCCGAUUGGACAAUUUAAACCAUUUGCAGUUGCAAUCAGCGUCUGAAAAAACAUAAUAGUUACAACUUUCAACAACGGAUCUCUUGGUUCUGGCAUCGAUGAAGAACGCAGCGAAAUGCGAUAAGUAGUGUGAAUUGCAGAAUUCAGUGAAUCAUCGAAUCUUUGAACGCACAUUGCGCCCCUUGGUAUUNCCAUGGGGCAUGCCUGUUCGAGCGUCAUUUGUACCUUCAAGCUCUGCUUGGUGUUGGGUGUUUGUCUCGCCUCUGCGCGUAGACUCGCCUCAAAACAAUUGGCAGCCGGCGUAUUGAUUUCGGAGCGCAGUACAUCUCGCGCUUUGCA